AGCUUUGCACAGUGGCAGUAUCGUAGCCAAUGAGGUUUAUCCGAGGCGCGAUUAUUGCUCAUUGAAAACAGAAAAUCUGUUGCUUUCCUAUACACUAAUAAUGAAGCAGCAGAAAGUGUAAUUAAGAAAACAAUACCAUUUACAAUUG
This is a non-coding RNA of Canis lupus familiaris (dog), 148 nucleotides long. Lineage: Eukaryota; Metazoa; Chordata; Mammalia; Carnivora; Canidae. The record is from Rfam.